This 72-nucleotide transfer RNA is filed under the name virus sp. cti5L29. Its description in RNAcentral is "tRNA-Trp". It matches the Rfam family "tRNA". Rfam says of the family: Transfer RNA (tRNA) molecules are approximately 80 nucleotides in length. Their secondary structure includes four short double-helical elements and three loops (D, anti-codon, and T loops). The record is from RNAcentral.
ACGGGAGUGGUGUAAUUGGUAGCACUAGAGUCUCCAAAACUCUCUGUGGAAGUUCAAAUCUUUCCUCCCGUG